UUUCACUUCUCAGAAGUUCGGUGUUGCGCUGUUUUCUAUUAGUUGUUUUUAUAGAAUCGUCGAAAAUUCAAUGUAAAGGUAAAUCGCGAGAAGUUCUUGUCGGCGUCAUUAAAAUUAUAUUCGAGGCGUAAGUUAACCAUAAUCUUUCUCGGAAGUGUGUUAUAUCUCGGCGCUGAAUAUCGGAGCAUUUUCGAAACAAGUACAUUUCGCUUUAUUGUCGUGUUCGGUUGCGCAUAUUUUGUGUCUUCGCUAAAUAUCAGUAGAACAUUUAACCGAACCAUCAGAAAUCGAAUAAUACAUUGUGUCGCGAGUGUUAAACCUGAAUUUUUAAAGAGGAUUUUCACGAGAAAUUUCGGAGAAAAGAAGAAAGACAGGAAAAGUCAUCCUACAUCAUUGAGCAGUACAUCGUUAAAUCAAGAAAUCUCUGCAUUAUAUUAAGAAAGACCUGCGGUUGGGAAUAACGGGAGGAACGAUGAAUCGUCUGGCACGUCACUAUCGAGUAGAGAGGAGGACGUUGAGUAAUCCAGGGACACUUGAGAAACCCGAUAACGGAUGGUUAUCGGCGUGCAGUGCUGCUAGGAGCGCGGGAAAAUGAUGCCGGCGCACCGGCGCGAAUUAUUCGUGAGAGGCAUUUCUGCGGAGAAAAUCGCGCGAUUCGACGCCGCAUACGUUCCACUUUAUGUGAAACACAUGGACGAACUGUUGAAGCUACCUUUUUAACGAUGUGUUUUGCUACGAUAAGAAAAAAAGACAUUUUAUUAUUCGUAUCUCGUUCGAUCGCUUAAUAAAAUGAAAAAAUGAUAUGGAGGAUGUAGUUUGUUGUUGUACAAAAAGCACAUACUUCAUUCGUUCAUUGGUUCAUUGCGUUUUUAUUAAAGAGAAAUUUGGGUAAUGCGCGGAGCUCGUGGAAUGUUUCACAAGGAUGACUUUCUAAUAUCCGUGAUUAGUCCGCGCGCAAUACGGCUAUUAACAAACGCGAUAUAAGUCAUUAUUACUGUUCGGUGAGAGGCGGUCUAUUUUUCUAUCAACGGCUGUCUGAGAUCCGGUCCUUAUUAUUCCUGAAAUGGGAAUCCAGAAUGGAGAACGCGGACAUUACGUAUAUCACACGCGACUCCGCACGGUACACUUUCACACGAUACGCCAUACGAGAUUUUCAGCGUGGAGAAUUAAGCGCGAACGCAAAUGACCGCGAAAUAAUGUAAUGAAACAUGCAAACGAAAUCACAUUCAAGGUAGCGAAUCGAGAAGAUCUGAUCGUUAACCAUUCCUCAUAAUAAAAAAUUGAUAAAUACCUCACAGAGAGAAAGAGACACAAAACUAUUUAAUCCUACAUUAAUUCAGCAGAAUAAUAAUUAUUUUAUUUUUAGGCAACAAUUAUGCGAAAUAUCGUCUUUAAAUCUUAUAUUAUCCCGCGAGACUGGGAGAGAUUCUUGCAUAAUCCGCACGAUAUUGUGAUAAAUAGAGUUUCAAUUCAAUUCAGCGUGACUGUCUUGUACUGUCCUGUCGGCACACAGUGCCAAUAAAAGAGAUUUAGAUGAAUGAAAAAUAAUUUUCAUACAAAGUGCGACGUAAGUCAUAUUUGGAGUGUCGAGAGUGCCGCGGCGUGAUAGUUUAAGAGAUAAAUAACUUGAUAUACCACCAGUUCUAAUCCCGUAGGAUAUGUAAACGCAUAUUUAUGUGCGCCAUAAUCUUCAUUACAUAUUCGCUGUUUUAAUUUAAAGUUACGCGUGUGUGUGUGUGCGUGUGUGUCGUGCGAGCGCGAGCGCGAGCGGGUUAACGAGCGCGUGUCGCGUUUUGCAAUUCGAGCGAACCCCGAACAAAACCAGAUUCGCAUUAUGUGGCGCGGUAUUACGAUUAGAGCCGCGUGUGCAGCACGCUCGAUUGCAUAAUCCGCUCGUAAAUAAGCGGGCGCGAGCGCGUAUGCUCAUUUGUUCGCCCGCUCGUAUGAAAGAAUGUAUGCGGUGUCACCUGUCGGCGGACCAAUCGCGUCGUGAG
Linepithema humile (Argentine ant) is the source of this 1994-nucleotide long non-coding RNA. RefSeq lists it as uncharacterized. The record is from RefSeq and is a predicted model, not a curated record. Lineage: Eukaryota; Metazoa; Arthropoda; Insecta; Hymenoptera; Formicidae.